GACGAACGCUGGCGGCGUGCCUAACACAUGCAAGUCGAGCGGGGAUAUACGGAAGGUUUACCGGAAGUAUAUCCUAGCGGCGGACGGGUGAGUAACACGUGGGUAACCUGCCUCAAAGUGGGGGAUAGCCUUCCGAAAGGAAGAUUAAUACCGCAUAAUAUGAGAGAAUCGCAUGAUUUUCUUAUCAAAGAUUUAUUGCUUUGAGAUGGACCCGCGGCGCAUUAGCUAGUUGGUAAGGUAAUGGCUUACCAAGGCAACGAUGCGUAGCCGACCUGAGAGGGUGAUCGGCCACAUUGGAACUGAGACACGGUCCAGACUCCUACGGGAGGCAGCAGUGGGGAAUAUUGCGCAAUGGAGGAAACCCUGACGCAGCAACGCCGCGUGGGUGAUGAAGGUCUUCGGAUUGUAAAGCCCUGUUUUCUGGGACGAUAAUGACGGUACCAGAGGAGGAAGCCACGGCUAACUACGUGC
Molecule: ribosomal RNA, 471 nt
Filed under: bacterium enrichment culture clone TC60a_949
Lineage: Bacteria
Description: bacterial SSU rRNA
Rfam family: Bacterial small subunit ribosomal RNA
Source: RNAcentral